CGCGUUAAGUCGACCGCCUGGGGAGUACGGCCGCAAGGUUAAAACUCAAAUGAAUUGACGGCCCGCACAAGCGGUGGAGCAUGUGGUUUAAUUCGAUGCAACGCGAAGAACCUUACCUACUCUUGACAUCCAGAGAACUUACCAGAGAUGGUUUGGUGCCUUCGGGAACUCUGAGACAGGUGCUGCAUGGCUGUCGUCAGCUCGUGUUGUGAAAUGUUGGGUUAAGUCCCGCAACGAGCGCAACCCUUAUCCUUUGUUGCCAGCGGUUCGGCCGGGAACUCAAAGGAUGACUGCCAGUGAUAAACUGGAGGAAGGUGGGGAUGACGUCAAGUCAUCAUGGCCCUUACGAGUAGGGCUACACACGUGCUACAAUGGCGCAUACAAAGAGAAGCGACCUCGCGAGAGCAAGCGGACCUCAUAAAGUGGUAGUCCGGAUUGGAGUCUGCAACUCGACUCCAUGAAGUCGGAAUCGCUAGUAAUCGUAGAUCAGAAUGCUACGGUGAAUACGUUCCCGGGCCUUGUACACACCGCCCGUCACACCAUGGGAGUGGGUUGCAAAAGAAGUAGGUAGCUUAACCUUCGGGAGGGCGCUUACCACUUUGUGAUUCAUGACU
This 614-nucleotide ribosomal RNA is filed under the name Enterobacter sp. RNAcentral describes it as "bacterial SSU rRNA". It matches the Rfam family "Bacterial small subunit ribosomal RNA", at positions 856 to 1476 of the family's 1533-position model. The record is from RNAcentral. Lineage: Bacteria; Pseudomonadati; Pseudomonadota; Gammaproteobacteria; Enterobacterales; Enterobacteriaceae.